UCAUAUCCUACGCUGGCUACGUAGUUCUACAAUGCAAGGACUGCUACUAAUGACUCUGCCUAACUAACAGGGAAGUCGUCACCCCUGAACUCAUUCGGUGCUUAAUCCUACUCCCAACUGAAAGACCUAGAAUAUUAGACUAACCAUGCUUAACUAUUUAAAAUACUAACUGAAAAGAUAGGGCUCAUAACUAAUCGGUAACCAUUCUAUAAAUACUAAAAAUCAAGGUAAGCAGCUAAAUUUUAGGCAUUCAAACCCCUAGGACUCGAUAACAAUAAUAGCAAGAUUGUACUAAAACUUGGAGGACAUGAUAUGUAAGCAUUUAUUCAAAACUCAUUCUUGUAGUCAUUUCAUCAAAC
RNAcentral lists this long non-coding RNA (359 nucleotides) under Capsicum annuum. RNAcentral describes it as "long non-coding RNA (CANN_LNC022312)". The record is from RNAcentral. Lineage: Eukaryota; Viridiplantae; Streptophyta; Magnoliopsida; Solanales; Solanaceae.